Long non-coding RNA from Neofelis nebulosa (Clouded leopard), 561 nucleotides. RefSeq lists it as uncharacterized. The transcript is spliced from 3 exons. The record is from RefSeq and is a predicted model, not a curated record. Lineage: Eukaryota; Metazoa; Chordata; Mammalia; Carnivora; Felidae.
GAAGUCCCCAGCAUGAGAGCAGACUAAGAACACUUCUCUCAUAGAGAAAGAGCUCAAGAGGACACCAGCAACCUACUACAGGGAAGACUGCUCUACCUGAUCUCCAUCAUGUCCCCAGCACCCAGCACAGUGCCUGGCAUACAGCAGGUGCUCCAUAAAUGGUCCUUGCUGAAUGAACCACCUACAGCACUGUAAAGGAGAGAGAGAGAGAGCAAGAGCAGGGGAGAAGCAGAGAGAGAGGAAGAGAGAGAGGCUCCAUGCUGUCAGCACAGAGAUUGAUGUGGGUCUCAAACCCACGAACCAUGAGAUCAUCCCCUCUCUCCUGACCUCGCCUGCCAACGUAGGUUGCCUGAGCUACACUGGCAGCCUCACUCCUGCAACACCAGGUGCCGCCCCCCCAACCCCUCUCCCCCCUGGACCCCGUUAGCAAUCAGAGUGUAGAGGCCUCAAUCCACUACCGAAGAGCUUCAGCCGGCUGCCUGCCCUGUCCUCAGAAACCGGCGAGGACCAGGCCUGCUUCCAAUAUCUUUGCUUGCCUCAUGUAUUUUGAUAUUGUCUAUG